RNAcentral lists this ribosomal RNA (468 nucleotides) under uncultured bacterium. RNAcentral describes it as "partial 16S ribosomal RNA". It matches the Rfam family "Bacterial small subunit ribosomal RNA", at positions 28 to 507 of the family's 1533-position model. The record is from RNAcentral.
GACGAACGCUGGCGGCGUGCUUAACACAUGCAAGUCGAACGGAAAGGCCCUGCUUUUGUGGGGUGCUCGAGUGGCGAACGGGUGAGUAACACGUGAGUAACCUGCCCUUGACUUUGGGAUAACUUCAGGAAACUGGGGCUAAUACCGGAUAGGAGCUCCUGCUGCAUGGUGGGGGUUGGAAAGUUUCGGCGGUUGGGGAUGGACUCGCGGCUUAUCAGCUUGUUGGUGGGGUAGUGGCUUACCAAGGCUUUGACGGGUAGCCGGCCUGAGAGGGUGACCGGCCACAUUGGGACUGAGAUACGGCCCAGACUCCUACGUGAGGCAGCAGUGGGGAAUAUUGCACAAGGGGCGGAAGCCUGAUGCAGCAACGCCGCGUGCGGGAUGACGGCCUUCGGGUUGUAAACCGCUUUCGCAUGUGACGAAGCGUGAGUGACGGUAAUGGGUAAAGAAGCACCGGCUAACUACGUG